This 52-nucleotide small RNA is filed under the name Arabidopsis thaliana (thale cress). Its description in RNAcentral is "ATSL060710". Lineage: Eukaryota; Viridiplantae; Streptophyta; Magnoliopsida; Brassicales; Brassicaceae. The record is from RNAcentral.
AUCAAAUGAUGGAACAGAGCAGAAGAACAGAACAAGUUCUGUUAGUGCAGAG